GCGAGCCAGAACUGUGCUUCGGAACCGCGGGCCCGGUGUGGGCUGCGGAACCAGGGUGCAAUGGACCGUGCUCGAGGUUCUUGUUC
RNAcentral lists this small RNA (86 nucleotides) under Sinorhizobium meliloti 2011. RNAcentral's name for it is "putative ncRNA". The record is from RNAcentral. Lineage: Bacteria; Pseudomonadati; Pseudomonadota; Alphaproteobacteria; Hyphomicrobiales; Rhizobiaceae.